CAUGGAGCCAGCCACCAGGUCAGACAUGCUGAAUCUUUUCCGCCUCUGCAGGAUCUGGCCUCCAGAUUAGCUUUUCAGGCCUGCCCUCGGCAACAUACAGGUCGGCUCAGAUCAGCCCCAGUGCAUGGCUACUGCUGACCUCUGCAGUCACUGUGGU
This is a non-coding RNA of Myodes glareolus (Bank vole), 157 nucleotides long. Lineage: Eukaryota; Metazoa; Chordata; Mammalia; Rodentia; Cricetidae. The record is from RefSeq and is a predicted model, not a curated record.